AACGUAGGUGGCGAGCGUUAUCCGGAUUUACUGGGCGUAAAGCGUGUGCAGGCGGCUUAUCAAGUGGUGUAUGAAAUAUCCAGGCUCAACCUGGAGGGGUUACGCCAGACUGGUAGGCUAGAGUGCGAGAGAGGGGCGUGGAAUUCCGGGUGUAGUGGUGAAAUGCGUAGAGAUCCGGAGGAACCCCAGAGGCGAAGGCGGCGCCCUGGCUCGACACUGACGCUCAGACACGACAGCAUGGGGAGCGAACGGG
This 253-nucleotide ribosomal RNA is filed under the name uncultured bacterium. Its description in RNAcentral is "partial 16S ribosomal RNA". It matches the Rfam family "Bacterial small subunit ribosomal RNA", at positions 524 to 776 of the family's 1533-position model. The record is from RNAcentral.